RNAcentral lists this ribosomal RNA (253 nucleotides) under uncultured bacterium. Its description in RNAcentral is "partial 16S ribosomal RNA". It matches the Rfam family "Bacterial small subunit ribosomal RNA", at positions 524 to 776 of the family's 1533-position model. The record is from RNAcentral.
UACGGAGGGUGCAAGCGUUAAUCGGAAUUACUGGGCGUAAAGCGCACGCAGGCGGUGAUGUAAGACAGGUGUGAAAUCCCCGGGCUUAACCUGGGAACUGCAUUUGUGACUGCAUCGCUGGAGUGCGGCAGAGGGGGAUGGAAUUCCGCGUGUAGCAGUGAAAUGCGUAGAUAUGCGGAGGAACACCGAUGGCGAAGGCAAUCCCCUGGGCCUGCACUGACGCUCAUGCACGAAAGCGUGGGGAGCAAACAGG